UACGGAGGGUGCGAGCGUUGUUCGGAAUCACUGGGCGUAAAGCGCGUGUAGGCGGCCCACUAAGUCUGAUGUGAAAGCCCGGGGCUCACCCCCGGAAGUGCAUUGGAAACUGGUGGACUCGAGUCCCGGAGAGGAGAGUGGAAUUCCUGGUGUAGCGGUGAAAUGCGUAGAUAUCAGGAGGAACACCGGUGGCGAAGGCGGCCUUCUGGACGGCUACUGACGCUGAGACGCGAAAGCGUGGGGAGCAAACAGG
This 253-nucleotide ribosomal RNA is filed under the name uncultured bacterium. RNAcentral describes it as "partial 16S ribosomal RNA". It matches the Rfam family "Bacterial small subunit ribosomal RNA", at positions 524 to 776 of the family's 1533-position model. The record is from RNAcentral.